RNAcentral lists this unclassified non-coding RNA (329 nucleotides) under soil metagenome. RNAcentral describes it as "partial contains 5.8S ribosomal RNA, internal transcribed spacer 2, and large subunit ribosomal RNA". The stretch from base 1 to 120 matches the Rfam family "5.8S ribosomal RNA", at positions 35 to 154 of the family's 154-position model. The record is from RNAcentral.
GAUGAAGAACGCAGCGAAAUGCGAUAAGUAGUGUGAAUUGCAGAAUUCAGUGAAUCAUCGAAUCUUUGAACGCACAUUGCGCCCCUUGGUAUCCCGAGGGGCAUGCCUGUUCGAGCGUCAUUUCACCACUCAAGCCUGGCUUGGUGUUGGGCGACGUCCUCUUUGGGGACGCGCCUCGAAACGCUCGGCGGCGUGGCACCGGCUUUAAGCGUAGCAGAAUCUUUCGCUUUGGAAGUCGGGGCCCCGUCUGCCGGAAGACCUGCUCGCAAGGUUGACCUCGGAUCAGGCAGGGAUACCCGCUGAACUUAAGCAUAUCAAUAAGCGCAGGA